GUCCUUAUUUUGGUGUUUAUUUAGUUUCUCUUUUCAAAAAACUUGUUUUCUUCCCCUCUUUUAGUUUGCCUCUGGCUGGCUUUGUGAAUUCCCAGCAUCGCCUUAAGCAUUGUGCCUUCCACUACAUACAGCGCCCAGUUUUCCAGUUUCCAUCCCGAUCUCCACUGUUCACAUGCUUACACCUCGUCAAACAAGCAUUUAAAAGACACGGUCUGUAAUGGCAGCUUGACGUCAAGCCACCACCCAUUUAAUCAGCCCCAUUAGAUCUCGAAUCACCGCCCUGACACGACUGCCAACAGGGUCAGGACCUGUAGCUCAGCGUUUGCUGCUUUUCAGCAGGUGAAUUUUAUUCUGCUCACUACCCUCAGUGGAGUCUCUGACAUUUGCUGUUUGCCAUUCGUAUUCCCUCGCACGCUGUGAAACAUCUGGUUAGGUUUCAAAUUCAUCGUGGUCAUUAAAAGGAGAACUGCAUCUCGUGACAGCGUUUCUAAUUUUACUGGAACCUGCUGAGCUCCGGCCAUUCAGGACUUGUUGGGUCAUUGGGUGUUAGAGGAAAACAUAAAAGAUAUUUUACUGGCCUGGCCAGAGGCUAGUUGGCACCUGUGUCGACUGAAGAUCUGAUCAAAUGGAAUCAAGAGUCAGAUUCUUGGGCAUGGAUUCCUAAACAGGUGUGUUCUGUCACCAGUUUUCUCCACUAUACAAAUGUAUUUUGAAAAAUUGAUGGUUCCACUUGUGAGACCAUCUGGGAAAUGGUUUUGAAAGGACAAAAUCCCAUUACUGGACAUUUACUGGUCAAAUUUGACCCAAGGCUUUCAGUCACACUGAGCAGUGAGUAAAAUAAAAUAAACCCAACAGAAGUUAUACCCGCUAACCAAUAGCAGUUUCUGAUAUGGGUAAAAUCACAAACAAUGUCA
Molecule: long non-coding RNA, 914 nt
Organism: Xiphophorus couchianus (Monterrey platyfish)
Lineage: Eukaryota; Metazoa; Chordata; Actinopteri; Cyprinodontiformes; Poeciliidae
Exons: 4
Source: RefSeq, a predicted model, not a curated record